GACGUAGGUGGCGACCGUUAUCCGGAAUUAUUGGGCGUAAAGGGUGCGUAGGUGGUCUGACAAGUUAUCAGUGGCAAAUCGAGGCUCAACCUCGUGGAAACUGGUAAUACUGUUCGGCUUGAGUACAGGAGAGGUUAACGGAACUCUAUGUGGAGCGGUAAAAUGCACAGAUAUAUAGAAGAACAUCAAUAAAGGCGAAGGCAGUUAACUAUUCUGUUACUGACGCUGAGGCACGAAAGCGUGGGGAGCAAAACGG
This 256-nucleotide ribosomal RNA is filed under the name uncultured bacterium. RNAcentral describes it as "partial 16S ribosomal RNA". It matches the Rfam family "Bacterial small subunit ribosomal RNA", at positions 524 to 776 of the family's 1533-position model. The record is from RNAcentral.